This 446-nucleotide ribosomal RNA is filed under the name uncultured organism. RNAcentral describes it as "partial 16S ribosomal RNA". It matches the Rfam family "Bacterial small subunit ribosomal RNA", at positions 334 to 797 of the family's 1533-position model. The record is from RNAcentral.
CACUCCUGCGGGAGGCAGCAGUGGGGAAUAUUGGACAAUGGGCGCAAGCCUGAUCCAGCCAUGCCGCGUGAGUGAUGAAGGCCCUAGGGUUGUAAAGCUCUUUCACCGGUGAAGAUAAUGACGGUAACCGGAGAAGAAGCCCCGGCUAACUUCGUGCCAGCAGCCGCGGUAAUACGAAGGGGGCUAGCGUUGUUCGGAUUUACUGGGCGUAAAGCGCACGUAGGCGGACUAUUAAGUCAGGGGUAAAAUCCCGGGGCUCAACCCCGGAACUGCCUUUGAUACUGGUAGUCUUGAGUUCGAGAGAGGUGAGUGGAAUUCCGAGUGUAGAGGUGAAAUUCGUAGAUAUUCGGAGGAACACCAGUGGCGAAGGCGGCUCACUGGCUCGAUACUGACGCUGAGGUGCGAAAGCGUGGGGAGCAAACAGGAUUAGAAACCCUUGUAGUCCC